This 2242-nucleotide long non-coding RNA is filed under the name Bemisia tabaci. RNAcentral's name for it is "lncRNA ENSSSA3NGG014263". Lineage: Eukaryota; Metazoa; Arthropoda; Insecta; Hemiptera; Aleyrodidae. The record is from RNAcentral.
ACAACACACCAAAUGGUCAUUAAUUCGGCAUAGAGAAAAUACCGGAUCGGAUUGCUUUAUCUUCAAGUUUGUGGAAUUGGAAUACAUAAAUGCCAUUAGGUAGUGCAUUGCCUGCUAGUACGCAAAGUGACAAGAUGUAUUUAAGUGCGAUGAUUUCAGGAAUUAUCCUCCCUACGUUAGAUUUUUCUUGCGAAUGAUAAUUUUUCUUUUCGGGCGCCCAAUGGCGGCUUGCGUUCACUUCAUGAAUGAACAGUAAUUAAAUAGUCGUAAAACAACCGUGAUUCGUGUUUGGUGUAUGUCAGAAUUUAGGUUUAAUGGUUUCAAUAAACAUGACACUGUCAAGUAUAGUAAUUCAUUUGUUAGUUGUUGUAUUGUCUGGACUACCUCAUGGCCAGAGUGGACCGGAGAGUCAUCAGAAUCGUUUGGGCAGUGAGAGGACAGACCUGCUUCAGGAUCAAGAGAGAUCUUUAUUACUAGUCUCAACAUUAGAUGGAUCUUUCAUUGGAGUUGACCAACGAACCGGGGAUGUUCGCUGGAAAGUUAAAGAUGAGCCAACUAUUAGAAUGCCUACAAAUUCUGACAACUCUAUCAUGCCGAUGUUUUUGCCAGACCCAAAAGAUGGAUCUUUGUACAUUAUCAACAAAGAAAAUGCUUUAAAAAGUUGCCUUUUACAAUUCAGCAACUAGUAGCAUCAUCUCCUUGCCAAAGCACCGAUGGAAUAUUUUAUACAGGUAGGUUUAACAGUCUUAGAAAACGACGACUUAUCAGUGCCCUGUAGAUCAUGCUACUUGAGGGAAACUGCUUUUCCUUUGCCCUGCUAGAUGAAGAACAGCGCCCAAAACGUACAAUGCAGGGCGAUGAAAUAAAAUUUUUGUGGGCAAUGAAAUAAAGUAUCUUAAUAUCCCGGAAAAUUUUGUUUUGAUUUGCGCAUGUGAAAAAAUUUGAAUUAUAUUCCCAUUCAAUCUAUUUUUCUGCUCUAUGCUAGUUUCAACCUGCUUUGGUACGCCAUCAAAACUAUCAGAAAAUUCUCAAUGACUUUUCCUGUUAUCUCAUUAUCUCAAUUCAAUUGAGGAAUCUGAAAGACUCUCAAGACACUCUAUAUGGAAUUAAUUUCCAUUUAGCAGUCUGAUUCGUUAAUUUAUGAAUAAACAAAAAUUGCAAGCAUAAUUGAGAUGGUAUGAAAUAACUCUCCAUUGAAUGCAUCCAGUUCUCCAAUAAAACUAAGAUCUAAAAUUAGCAAUGAUCCAAUAAUUUAGAAUACUCUCAGUUCAGCACCUCUAAUUUUUUACUUGUAUUAUUGAUGUGAAGUCAAUGAGCACAUCCAGAAAUACACUGUGAUCUUAUGCCGUCCAGAAUUGGUGGAGGGGAACUUAAAUGGACUUAAUGGCUACUAAACUGAUGGUUGUGACGCACAGAUCGCAUGAUGGAUAUAUAUCUUUGAUUGCUUGGUUUUACUAAUGUCAUUUUAUUUAUAACUGCCUCUUGAGCUGUUUCAAUGUGUAUCUUAAUGGCAGUCUGAAUGUUUAUCAUUACAAUUAUUUUACCGUAAAACUCAUGUAGGGUUAAAAGGGUCAGGAGAAACCUUGAAAGUCAAGGAAUUUGAAAACAACUUGGAAAAUCAGAGAUUAGUCAGGGAAUUUUGCUCUUAGUCCAGGAAAUUCUCAUUUUUCCUGCCUUUUCUUCUAAUUUUUCUCAUUCAGGCAUUAAAUAAUUUACAAUAUUUCCAGGAAGCAAGUAAAUUGUCGUAUUCAGGUUAUUUGCAAGUGCUUCAAAGUUUGCGUUGCUGUUUUUAAAUUAACAUUUUCUCUCUUUUUUUCUUCUUUUUUUUGUGAGAAGUCCUUUAGGGAAAAAUGAGGAUGCCAAAGAAGAGAAGUUCAUGAACAUGCUCCAAUGAUAGAUUAAGUAGGUAAAUGUUUCUCUUUCAAGGAAGGGGGCCAUGGCUCAGAAAUGGCUGUAAAAUGGAGCAAACUACAAUUACUUGCACUCUAUUUAGUUCUUCUUUGUUUUUCAGGAAAAAAAAAUGGAUAGUUGGUUCUCAAUGAAUUGGCAGACUGGAGAGAAAGAACCCAUUUUCAGUUUUGAUCAGCCAGACAUAACUUGUCCUGCUACACUCUCGCCUGAUGAAAUGUUCAUCGGGAAAGCAGGUAUUACUUUUAAAAUUUUACUCUUGUUAAAGUAGUGUUGAUCAACAACUCUAUUCGGAAUUUAAGAUUUAACACUUUAUUCAAUAAAUGACUGUACU